CUUGAACGAGCCCAGCCACAGCGGGCGCUCCGGGGCCCGGUCGCGGCCGUAGGUGGCCAGGACGGCCUGGGCCUC
This 75-nucleotide antisense RNA is filed under the name Actinokineospora spheciospongiae. RNAcentral describes it as "Actinokineospora sp. EG49 ASpks TB sRNA". It matches the Rfam family "ASpks TB sRNA". Lineage: Bacteria; Bacillati; Actinomycetota; Actinomycetes; Pseudonocardiales; Pseudonocardiaceae. The record is from Rfam by way of RNAcentral.